ACGGGGUGCAGCAUGCGCGAAAACUUCACACUGUGCGAAAGCGCGAUGAGGGAAUCCCAAGUGUUUGCUCGUAAGAGUAAACUGUUUCUUUGUUUAAAACGCAGAGAGAGUAAGGGCUGGGUAAGACGGGUGCCAGCCGCCGCGGUAAUACCUGCAGCUCAAGUGGUGAUCAUUAUUAUUGGGCCUAAAACGUCCGUAGCCGGUUUAGUAAAUGCCUGGGUAAAUCGUGUAGCUUAACUAUACGACUUCCGGGUAGACUGCUAAACUUGAGACCGGGUGAGGCUAGAGGUACUCCUGGGGUAGAGGUGAAAUUCUGUAAUCCUAGGGGGACCACCAGUGGCGAAGGCGUCUAGCUAGAACGGGUCUGACGGUGAGGGACGAAGCCCUGGGGCACAAACCGGGUUAGAUACCCGGGUAGUCCAGGGUGUAAACGCUGCUUGCUUGAUGUUAGUUGAGCUCCGAGCCCAACUAGUGUCGGAGAGAAGUUGUUAAGCAAGCUGCCUGGGAAGUACGGUCGCAAGGCUGAAACUUAAAGGAAUUGGGCGGGGGAGCACAGCAAACGGGUGGAGC
RNAcentral lists this ribosomal RNA (570 nucleotides) under uncultured archaeon. RNAcentral describes it as "bacterial SSU rRNA". It matches the Rfam family "Archaeal small subunit ribosomal RNA", at positions 325 to 894 of the family's 1478-position model. The record is from RNAcentral.